GUAGCCGUUUCAGGCUGGAGGGAACAUUCCCUAAGGCUCCUCUCCAUCUGUGUCCUUGGCGAUUUCCCUGCCUUGGUGAACCCUUAGAAGGCAGUGCAUUAGCUUACAAGGGUCAAAGUACCAUCUGUAAUGCCAUCCUGUAAUAACAACCUCUGUCAUGCCAAGGAAGCUGGCUUUCUUCUGAGGGCUGUUUGCACAACUGGGUUAUGCCCAGUCACAUCAUUGGAUGACAGCGAGGAGUCAAGCCUGAGGAUGAAGCUAACACAGAAAGGAAGGCAGAGCAGAGACAAGUACCAAGACUAUGCUGGAGUCUUGAUCAAACAACAUAUGAAUUUCACUCUAUUUCUGGACUUUUCAAUGACACCUGCAAUAUUAUAUCCACUUUCAUGGCUGCAACCACCACAUCCAUGGGACGACUCCAAAGCAUCCAUCUCAGUCCUUGACAGACAGUUGCAGAUCUCCAGCUGACUGUCAAACACUCUUAACUGCAGAACUGCUGCCAUAAUGUGUUUAAGCUCUAACUGAGGAUCUGUAACUGACUAGCCAUGUGAACUCGGAACUGUCACGUAUCUUUCAGAACUUCAGCGUUUCAUUCGACAACAAGAAUGGUUUGAAGUUGAAUAUCUACCGUACAAGACUUUAAGGCCUAGGAGGAGCCUUGUCUAUCCAAUUAUUGACGGGACCUCUUUAGCCUAAGGUUCCUGUAGUUGUAAUGUGUGCCGUCCAAUACAGUUUAAAUUUAAAUUUAAUUAAACGUAUAUUCAAUUGAAAAUUCAUGUCAUCUGCUUCACUAGCCACAUUUAAAUGUUCAGUUGCCACUUGUGACGGUGGCUACCAUAAUGGACAAUGCUGAUAUAGAACAUUUUCAUCCCUGCAGAAUGUCUCAUUGGAUAAUGCUGUAGGUUAACCAACCACCACGUAUAAAGCCAAAAUUAUCUUCCUCUCCAUUAGCUCAAACUUUAUACUUCCUACGUCUCAUAGUAGCAUUAACACCAUUGUUAUGGACUGAAUUGUGUCCCCCACCAGAUUCAUAUGUUGAAGUCUAACCUCCCCCCAAUAUGACUGCAUUUGGAGAUAGGGACCUUAGGGAGGUGAUUAAGGUUAAAUGAAAUCAUAAGAGUGGGAGCCUAAUGCAAUAGGUCUCGUUCCUUACAAGAAGAGGAAGAGAUAUCAGAGAUCUCUUCCUCUCUGCACUUGUGCAGGGAAAGAACAUGUGAGGAGGCAGUGAGAAGGCAGCCAUCUGUAAUCCAGGAAGAAAGACUUCACCAGUAACCAACACGGAUGGCACCUUGAUCUUAGAUUUCUG
RNAcentral lists this long non-coding RNA (1306 nucleotides) under Equus caballus (horse). RNAcentral describes it as "lncRNA (ENSECAG00000048845.1)". Lineage: Eukaryota; Metazoa; Chordata; Mammalia; Perissodactyla; Equidae. The record is from RNAcentral.